GAAACAGGCUGCUUUGCGUCCAAGCCUUGCGCUGGGACCUCAGUCUGUGCAAAGUGGAUAUCCUGUCCUACCCGCCACCAACCUGCUCCCCAUCCUGCAGGAACGUGGGUACUGCUUGGAGGACAAGACAGGUGUGAAAAGGGAUUGAGAAUCUAGAUGGAAGAGACCUCAGUAGUUCAGCCCUGAGUCACACGGGCCUUCCUCCACAAUGUGGCCAAUUCACCCACUCCUCGCCACCCAACCGCUGACACAGCAGAAUAUUGUCCUGAAGCGUGCCGUGUGUAUGGACAGUAUCGGACCAGUUGCACCAAAUGCGGUUUGGAACACCUGAGUCCUGCAGCAGCAGCUGAUGGUAACAGCCACAUCUUCUACAAAUCAGCCUGGAGCUGAUGGAAAUGCAGGGCUUGGUGGUGAUGGUCCAGCUUUGUGAACACAUGAGCAUAUUGCAGUGGAGAAGCAAAAAGAGGGUUUGAGAGUUCAGGGAAGAAGUUGCCUGUGAAACUACUCAGCUAUGGCGUUGGGCCACCAUCUAUGGGCAGGAUAAUUCCGAAGGCGGAACCAAGAGCCUAGAGAGUGGAGCCAAGAGUCCUGAAGAAUCUUUCCCAAGCCUUGAAUUCUGAUCAACAUACUACCAGCACAUUCUCUACUGGAUCUCAAGUUCUCUGGGUAGCAGUGAUUCCCAUUCCUCUACCACCAUUCCCCCUCCUUUUUGUUGUGGGGAGAGUGUCUAUAAUGUUAUCCUUACCUAUGUUGUAAUGCCCUAUUCUUGUGUUUUGGAGAUAAGGGGUCAGACAACUUAUAUUUAAAAUUUGUCAUUUAUUUAUUUAUUUAUAAUUUUUCCGCAUGGAGCCUGCUUCACCCUCUGCCUGUGUCUCUGCCUCUCUCUCUGG
Molecule: long non-coding RNA, 890 nt
Organism: Canis lupus familiaris (dog)
Lineage: Eukaryota; Metazoa; Chordata; Mammalia; Carnivora; Canidae
Exons: 6
Source: RefSeq, a predicted model, not a curated record